UGGGGAAUAUUGCACAAUGGGCGAAAGCCUGAUGCAGCGACGCCGCGUGAGGGAUGACGGCCUUCGGGUUGUAAACCUCUUUCAGCAGGGACGAAGCGCAAGUGACGGUACCUGCAGAAGAAGCACCGGCUAACUACGUGCCAGCAGCCGCGGUAAUACGGAGGGUGCAAGCGUUGUCCGGAAUUACUGGGCGUAAAGAGUUCGUAGGCGGUUUGUCGCGUCGUUUGUGAAAACCAGCAGCUCAACUGCUGGCUUGCAGGCGAUACGGGCAGACUUGAGUACUGCAGGGGAGACUGGAAUUCCUGGUGUAGCGGUGAAAUGCGCAGAUAUCAGGAGGAACACCGGUGGCGAAGGCGGGUCUCUGGGCAGUAACUGACGCUGAGGAACGAAAGCGUGGGUAGCGAACAGG
Molecule: ribosomal RNA, 409 nt
Filed under: Bacillota bacterium
Lineage: Bacteria; Bacillati; Bacillota
Description: Firmicutes bacterium partial 16S ribosomal RNA
Rfam family: Bacterial small subunit ribosomal RNA
Source: RNAcentral